UACAGAGGUCCCAAGCGUUGUUCGGAUUCACUGGGCGUAAAGGGUGCGUAGGUGGUGGGGUAAGUCUGAUGUGAAAUCUUCGAGCUUAACUCGGAAAUGGCAUUGGAUACUACUCUGCUAGAGGUUUGGAGGGGGGACUGGAAUUCUCGGUGUAGCAGUGAAAUGCGUAGAUAUCGAGAGGAACACCAGUGGCGAAGGCGAGUCCCUGGACACUUCCUGACACUGAGGCACGAAAGCUAGGGGAGCAAACAGG
RNAcentral lists this ribosomal RNA (253 nucleotides) under uncultured bacterium. RNAcentral's name for it is "partial 16S ribosomal RNA". It matches the Rfam family "Bacterial small subunit ribosomal RNA", at positions 524 to 776 of the family's 1533-position model. The record is from RNAcentral.